CGGAAUCUGCCUAUUUGUGGGGGAUAACGUAGGGAAACUUACGCUAAUACCGCAUACGACCUACGGGUGAAAGCGGAGGACCUUCGGGCUUCGCGCAGAUAGAUGAGCCGAUGUCGGAUUAGCUAGUUGGCGGGGUAAAGGCCCACCAAGGCGACGAUCCGUAGCUGGUCUGAGAGGAUGAUCAGCCACACUGGAACUGAGACACGGUCCAGACUCCUACGGGAGGCAGCAGUGGGGAAUAUUGGACAAUGGGCGCAAGCCUGAUCCAGCCAUGCCGCGUGGGUGAAGAAGGCCUUCGGGUUGUAAAGCCCUUUUGUUGGGAAAGAAAAGCAGUCGGUUAAUACCCGAUUGUUCUGACGGUACCCAAAGAAUAAGCACCGGCUAACUUCGUGCCAGCAGCCGCGGUAAUACGAAGGGCGCAAGCGUUACUCGGAAUUACUGGGCGUAAAGCGUGCGUAGGUGGUUUGUUAAGUCUGAUGUGAAAGCCCUGGGCUCAACCUGGGAAUUGCAUUGGAUACUGGCAGGCUAGAGUGCGGUAGAGGGUAGUGGAAUUCCCGGU
RNAcentral lists this ribosomal RNA (559 nucleotides) under uncultured bacterium. RNAcentral's name for it is "bacterial SSU rRNA". It matches the Rfam family "Bacterial small subunit ribosomal RNA", at positions 119 to 674 of the family's 1533-position model. The record is from RNAcentral.